Molecule: small RNA, 616 nt
Filed under: Drosophila ananassae
Lineage: Eukaryota; Metazoa; Arthropoda; Insecta; Diptera; Drosophilidae
Description: GF26875
Source: RNAcentral
GCAUAAAACAUGCAAUUGACCUCAUCAAAGCUGACGGCGUUCUAUAUAGCCGAUUAGCAGGGGCAGUUGCAGACAAAUGUGCAUCUAAUUAUGAUGCAAUUGAUUUUCUGAAAAGCCAUGGUCUGCCGGUCCUAUACGAUCACAGUCACCUGGUCGACAAAUUAGUCAAAAAAGGACAUGUUGAAAUUAUAUUGAGGCGGCUUCAAAAGCGACCUUUAACCAAAUCAACAUAUGUCAAUGAAAUUAAUUCUUUUAAAAGUAUUGUGGAAAGAGGUGUGCCUGAUUUAUUGAAACCCCGAUAUGUCGCCGAGUUGGCAAGUAUUGAACAUUUCUUAAAAAAUACUUUUGAUACGUUUCCGGAGCGGACGGUGACCCUCCAAUGGGUGAACUCUGAUGUAUUUGAAAGCAUUGGGUCUUGCAGUAUUGGAGGAAUACUGCAAGAGGCUGCUAAUGAAGGUUUUGAGAAAUUAAAUGACAAGAUAUGACUUAUUGACGGAUCACAAACCUUACGAUCGAGGAGAGAAGAGGCAACAACCUACUCAGCGACUGGCAAAAGAGAUGGAAUAUUGAAGUUAAUAAUGAGAAGUCCACCGCCACCACAUUUUCUCUCUGCCAA